UAGGAGCAAGUUAAUUAAGAAAGUUGGAACUUUUGGAAGGGUGUGGCAUGCUAUUCAUAAGCAGUCUGGGGAAAUUGUUGCAAUUAAGAAAAUGAAGAAGAAAUAUUACUCAUGGGAAGAGUGUGUGAAUCUGAGAGAAGUUAAGUCAUUGUAGAGAAUGAAUCAACCAAAUAUUGGGAAGCUUAAGGAAGUCAUCAGGGAAAAUGGCAUUUUAUUCUUUGUGUUUGAAUAUAUGGUAAGGGCCAGUUUUUAUUUGUGUUCUUAAUUAAUGGGGUUUUGCUG
Long non-coding RNA from Hibiscus syriacus, 282 nucleotides. RefSeq lists it as uncharacterized. NCBI's taxonomy places the organism in Eukaryota, Viridiplantae, Streptophyta, Magnoliopsida, Malvales, Malvaceae. The transcript has 3 exons. The record is from RefSeq and is a predicted model, not a curated record.